RNAcentral lists this ribosomal RNA (200 nucleotides) under uncultured bacterium. Its description in RNAcentral is "partial 16S ribosomal RNA". It matches the Rfam family "Bacterial small subunit ribosomal RNA", at positions 29 to 254 of the family's 1533-position model. The record is from RNAcentral.
AGCGAACGCUGGCGGCAGGCUUAACACAUGCAAGUCGAACGGGCGUAGCAAUACGUCAGUGGCAGACGGGUGAGUAACGCGUGGGAACAUACCUCUUGGUUCGGAACAACACAGGGAAACUUGUGCUAAUACCGGAUAAGCCCUUACGGGGAAAGAUUUAUCGCCGAGAGAUUGGCCCGCGUCUGAUUAGCUAGUUGGUG